RNAcentral lists this ribosomal RNA (372 nucleotides) under uncultured bacterium. RNAcentral's name for it is "bacterial SSU rRNA". It matches the Rfam family "Bacterial small subunit ribosomal RNA", at positions 524 to 898 of the family's 1533-position model. The record is from RNAcentral.
UACGGAGGAUGCAAGCGUUAUCCGGAUUCAUUGGGUUUAAAGGGUGCGCAGGCGGGCUAAUAAGUCAGGGGUGAAAUACUACGGCUCAACCGUGGAACUGCCUUUGAUACUGUUAGUCUUGAGUUUAAUUGAAGUGGGCGGAAUGUAGCAUGUAGCGGUGAAAUGCAUAGAGAUGCUACAGAACACCGAUAGCGAAGGCAGCUCACUAAGUUACAACUGACGCUCAUGCACGAAAGCGUGGGGAUCAAACAGGAUUAGAUACCCUGGUAGUCCACGCUGUAAACGAUGAUCACUCGUUGUUGGCGAUACACAGUCAGCGGCUAAGCGAAAGUGAUAAGUGAUCCACCUGGGGAGUACGAUCGCAAGGUUGAA